ACUACGGGAGGCAGCAGUGGGGAAUAUUGGACAAUGGGCGAAAGCCUGAUCCAGCAAUGCCGCGUGAGUGAUGAAGGCCUUAGGGUUGUAAAGCUCUUUCGGCGGGGAAGAUGAUGACGGUACCCGCAGAAGAAGCCCCGGCUAACUUCGUGCCAGCAGCCGCGGUAAUACGAAGGGGGCUAGCGUUGUUCGGAAUUACUGGGCGUAAAGGGCGCGUAGGCGGCGCAUUAAGUCAGGUGUGAAAGCCCUGGGCUCAACCCAGGAAUUGCACUUGAUCCUGAUGUGCUUGAAUCCGGAAGAGGAUGACGGAAUUCCCAGUGUAGAGGUGAAAUUCAUUGAUAUUGGGAAGAACACCAGUGGCGAAGGCGGUCAUCUGGUCCGGUAUUGACGCUGAGGCGCGAAAGCGUGGGGAGCAAACAGGAUUAGAUACCCUAGUAGUC
This 440-nucleotide ribosomal RNA is filed under the name uncultured bacterium. RNAcentral describes it as "partial 16S ribosomal RNA". It matches the Rfam family "Bacterial small subunit ribosomal RNA", at positions 338 to 795 of the family's 1533-position model. The record is from RNAcentral.